ACUGCUCAGUAACACGUGGCUAAUCUGCCCUUGGGACCGGAACACCCCCGGGAAACUGGGGCUAAUUCUCGAUAGGUGAAGAACUCUGGAAUGAGUCUUUGCCAAAAAGACGUUUACGUUAUGCUCGUAGGCGUCGCCCAAGGAUGAGGCCGCGACCGAUCAGGUUGUUGGUGAGGUAAUGGCUCACCAAGCCUUUUACCGGUGCGGGCCGUGAGAGCGGGAGCCCGGAGAUGGGCACUGAGACAAGGGCCCAGGCCCUACGGGGCGCAGCAGUCGCGAAAACUUUGCAAUACACGAAAGUGUGACAGGGCUAUCCCGAGUGCCAUCCGCUGAGGAAGGCUUUUACCCAGUCUAGAACGCUGGGGGAAUAAGGAGAGGGCAAGUCUGGUGUCAGCCGCCGCGGUAAUACCAGCUCUCCGAGUGGUGUGGAUGUUUAUUGGGCCUAAAGCAUCCGUAGCUGGCUGAGUUAGUCCCUUGUUAAAUCCACCGAAUUAAUCGUUGGAUUGCGGGGGAUACUGCUCGGCUAGGGGACGAGAGAGGCAGACGGUAUUUCCGGGGUAGGGGUGAAAUCCUAUAAUCCCGGGAAGACCACCAGUGGCGAAGGCUGUCUGCUAGAACGCGCCCGACGGUGAGGGAUGAAAGCUGGGGGAGCGAACCGGAUUAGAUACCCGGGUAGUCCCAGCUGUAAACGAUGCAGGCUAGGUGUUUGGACGGCCACGUGCCGUUCUAGUGCCGCAGGGAAGCUGUUAAGCCUGCCGCCUGGGGAGUACG
RNAcentral lists this ribosomal RNA (771 nucleotides) under uncultured archaeon. RNAcentral describes it as "bacterial SSU rRNA". It matches the Rfam family "Archaeal small subunit ribosomal RNA", at positions 85 to 839 of the family's 1478-position model. The record is from RNAcentral.